AAGAACCGCUUCCCCGAGGACCUGGAGGCGCUCGGGGAGGCGGAGUAGAGGGCUGGGGCCCGGGGGUGCACGCAGGUUGGGCAGGGCGCGGAGCGCCUCGGCCUCGGUCCUCCCCACCCCCGGAGCGCCCCGGGACUGCCGCCUGCCCUGGCUGGGAGCUUUGUUCUUUUUCUUUCAACUACCUGUCUGAGCAGCGGGCUGGAGGGGGCCCAAAGAAAGGGCUGCUGCUUCCGGAGGGGGUCCCAUCAGCUUCCGAGGGGGCACUCUCGGGGAAGAAUGAGGUAGCGCCCCUGUUUCUCUGCCUCCCUCCCUCCUCGCCUCCUCUCCUCUCUCUCCUCUUUUGUUGCCUCUACUCUUGGACAUGACACAGCCUCUGCUGUUUCCCCCCUCCCACUUGGGAGUUUGCAGUGUGGACGCACAGCGAACACAGAAGAGAACAGACAGGAAGAGAAAACACCCAGCAGAGCCUGGAUGGAGCAAGAGAGCUUAGAAAACUCAAGGACGGCAUUUCCACACUUGCUGCUCUCGGCCUUCGGGUUUCUCAGUGAGAGAUUACGUGGUUUGUAUUUCUAGCCCUUCCCUGUGGAACAUAGCUGUG
Camelus dromedarius (Arabian camel) is the source of this 598-nucleotide long non-coding RNA. RefSeq lists it as uncharacterized. The record is from RefSeq and is a predicted model, not a curated record. The transcript has 2 exons. NCBI's taxonomy places the organism in Eukaryota, Metazoa, Chordata, Mammalia, Artiodactyla, Camelidae.